GGCCUUUGGUCAGAUAGUUUCUCCGGGCCUUUCUGCCUGGGAACCCUAUUCUACUUAACUGUAGGGUAGUGGGACGCAGGCCGUUUACUUUNGAAAAAAUUAGAGUGUUCAAAGCAGGCCUACGCUUGAAUACAUUAGCAUGGAAUAAUNGGAAUAGGACUUUGGUCUUAUUUGUUGGUUUAUGGGACCGAAGUAAUGAUUAACAGGGACAGUUGGGGCCGUUUAUAUUUCGUUGUCAGAGGUGAAAUUCUUCGGAUUUACGAAAGAUAAACUUCUGCGAAAGCAUUCCGGCAAGGAUGUUCACAUUGAUCAAGAACGAAAGUUAGGGGAUCGAAGACGAUCAGAUACCCGUCGUAGUCUUAACCAUAAACUAUGCCGACUAGGGAUCAGUGGAUGUCAAUUUGCGACUCCAUUUGGCACCUUGUGAGAAAUCAAAGUUUUUGGGUUCCNGGGGGAGUAUGGUCGCAAGGCUGAAACUUAAAGGAAUUGACGGAAGGGCACCACCAGGAGUGGAGCCUGCGGCUUAAUUUGACUCAACACGGGGAAACUUACCAGGUCCAGACAUAGUAAGGAUUGACAGAUUGAAAGCUCUUUUCUUGAUUCUAUGGGUGGNNGGUGCAUGGCCGUUCUUAAGUUGGUGGAGUGAUUUGUCUGGUUAAUUCCG
This 664-nucleotide ribosomal RNA is filed under the name Rhodomonas sp. RCC662. RNAcentral's name for it is "SSU rRNA". It matches the Rfam family "Eukaryotic small subunit ribosomal RNA", at positions 667 to 1327 of the family's 1831-position model. Lineage: Eukaryota; Cryptophyceae; Pyrenomonadales; Pyrenomonadaceae. The record is from RNAcentral.